RNAcentral lists this long non-coding RNA (744 nucleotides) under Mus musculus (house mouse). RNAcentral's name for it is "RIKEN cDNA 2210408F21 gene". The record is from RNAcentral. Lineage: Eukaryota; Metazoa; Chordata; Mammalia; Rodentia; Muridae.
GGCGGCGGCGGCCGGAGCUGGAGGGGGAGGAGGGGAGGAACCUGAUCCUCGGUAGCGAAGGGCUGGAGGCAAACACCGAGCUCCCCCUGAGCCGCCUGGGAGCAGGGAGGGUUCUGCUACCCUGAGGGGCCCUCCCCGCGGGGCAGAGGAGGCUGUUGGGAAGGUGGGAUGACCUAGGAUUGACCUUGGACUUGACAUCACAGAAGCCAUUUCAACCUUCACAGGUGGGAGGAAGUCACAGCAUCUACUUCUGAAUCUGUGCUUGCCUUGAGGAAAAACGGCAUGGCACAGGAAUGUGGACGCUUUCAACCAGAGGAUUCUGUACGACGGUGUCGGCACACAAGGAGUGUUCCACUGACUGACCUCUUUUUGUUUUCAAAUGAAGAGGAGCCAAGAAUAGGACAGCUUGGGAAGGUGAGCUGCGUAUAGCUCGUCAGGCUGAGCUCAUCCUCGUCUACGGCCAAACGUUGGUUUCUCAUUUCUAGAAGAUGAAAGAUGUGAUGACUCAGGAAAAACUGGAAUCUUAGUAACUGUGGUGGGCAUUGAGCCUUGCCGUCCACAAGAGAAAGCUUGCUGCUCGAGAUGUGAGUCUUCAGAUGUUCCUGCCGCCAUAUCUGACAGCUGCUGCCAAGAUUCCCUGGUGGGAUGGACUCUUAUACCUCAACAACCAGAAGCCCAAGUAAACUCUUCUAUAAAUUGAAUGACUCAUGCUUAAAAAAAAAAACAAAAAACAAACUAUCUUUA